UAGGGAAUCUUCCACAAUGGACGCAAGUCUGAUGGAGCAACGCCGCGUGAGUGAAGAAGGUUUUCGGACCGUAAAGCUCUGUUGUUGGUGAAGAAGGAUAGAGGUAGUAACUGGCCUUUAUUUGACGGUAAUCAACCAGAAAGUCACGGCUAACUACGUGCCAGCAGCCGCGGUAAUACGUAGGUGGCAAGCGUUGUCCGGAUUUAUUGGGCGUAAAGCGAGCGCAGGCGGAAGAAUAAGUCUGAUGUGAAAGCCCUCGGCUUAACCGAGGAAUUGCAUCAGAAACUGUUUUCUUGAGUGCAGAAGAGGAGAGUAGAACUCCAUGUGUAGCGGUGGAAUGCGUAGAUAUAUGGAAGAAUACCAGUGGCGAAGGCGGCUCUCUGGUCUGCAACUGACGCUGAGGCUCGAAAGCAUGGGUAGCGAACAGGAUUAGAUACCCUGGUAGUCCAUGCCGUAAACGAUGAGUGCUAAGUGUUGGGAGGCUUCCGCCUCUCAGUGCUGCAGCUAACGCAUUAAGCACUCCGCCUGGGGGAGUACGACCGCAAGGUUGAAAC
RNAcentral lists this ribosomal RNA (554 nucleotides) under uncultured bacterium. RNAcentral describes it as "partial 16S ribosomal RNA". It matches the Rfam family "Bacterial small subunit ribosomal RNA", at positions 355 to 900 of the family's 1533-position model. The record is from RNAcentral.